CUCAUACUCCCUCCGUUCGGAAUUAUUCGUCUAAGAAAUGAAUGUAUCUAGAUGUAUUUUAGUUGUAGAUACAUUCAUUUUUAUUCAUUUUUUGUGACAAGUAAUUCCGAACGGAGGGAGUAGUAU
Molecule: non-coding RNA, 126 nt
Organism: Triticum aestivum (bread wheat)
Lineage: Eukaryota; Viridiplantae; Streptophyta; Magnoliopsida; Poales; Poaceae
Source: Rfam